Molecule: non-coding RNA, 72 nt
Organism: Phrynosoma platyrhinos (Desert horned lizard)
Lineage: Eukaryota; Metazoa; Chordata; Lepidosauria; Squamata; Phrynosomatidae
Source: the annotation of a GenBank genome assembly
GCCAGCAUGGUACAGUGGUUUGAAUGAUGGACUACAGCUCUGGAGACUAGGGUUCAAAUCCCCACUCAGCCA